AAUCCAUGGUUGGGACAUUUCCUCAAAUACAUUUGGAAACAUUCCCAAGCCUCAUAGAAUGCUUCUUUUGUACCUUAUAUAAAUGUUGAGAUCUCAAACUUGGCGU
Molecule: small nucleolar RNA, 106 nt
Filed under: Lupinus angustifolius (narrow-leaved blue lupine)
Lineage: Eukaryota; Viridiplantae; Streptophyta; Magnoliopsida; Fabales; Fabaceae
Description: Plant small nucleolar RNA R71
Rfam family: Plant small nucleolar RNA R71
About the family: R71 is a member of the C/D box family of snoRNAs containing the C (UGAUGA) and D (CUGA) box motifs. Multiple nearly identical copies of this snoRNA have been identified in Arabidopsis, and it is thought to function as a 2'-O-ribose methylation guide for 18S ribosomal RNA.
Source: Rfam by way of RNAcentral